AGCGAGGAUCCGGCGGAGCGUCUCGACCUGGACGCGGCCGGCGUUGGCCGUGGCGGCCUCGAAUUCGGCUAUCACGUAGUCAAGACUGAACUCUCUCAUAAUUGAUUGUUGGAGGAUGUAAUAAUUGGAUAGUGAGGGCAGUUUAUAAAGGGAGUUGACGCUUGACUGCGGGUGGACGGUGAUGAAAAUAGUGGAUGGAUUUUAGGGAAUCAUAUGAAAAUGAAUGGAUAGGUUUUCUCGAAUCAUAUGGAGGCGGUGGGGAUUGGGAGGUAGCGA
This 276-nucleotide unclassified non-coding RNA is filed under the name Hevea brasiliensis (rubber tree). The record is from RNAcentral. Lineage: Eukaryota; Viridiplantae; Streptophyta; Magnoliopsida; Malpighiales; Euphorbiaceae.